AACGAACGCUGGCGGCAGGCCUAACACAUGCAAGUCGAACGCCGUAGCAAUACGGAGUGGCAGACGGGUGAGUAACGCGUGGGAAUAUCCCCCUCAGUACGGAAUAGCUCAGGGAAACUUGGGGUAAUACCGUAUACGUCCGUGAGGAGAAAGAUUUAUCGCUGAGGGAUUAGCCCGCGUAGGAUUAGCUAGUUGGUGAGGUAAUGGCUCACCAAGGCGACGAUCCUUAGCUGGUCUGAGAGGACGACCAGCCACACUGGGACUGAGACACGGCCCAGACUCCUACGGGAGGCAGCCUGAGACCCAAGGCACACAGGGGAUAGG
RNAcentral lists this ribosomal RNA (324 nucleotides) under uncultured Pseudomonadota bacterium. RNAcentral's name for it is "bacterial SSU rRNA". It matches the Rfam family "Bacterial small subunit ribosomal RNA", at positions 29 to 381 of the family's 1533-position model. Lineage: Bacteria; Pseudomonadati; Pseudomonadota. The record is from RNAcentral.